AUGCCUAAGCUGAUCUUCCGUCUUGCUCCCAGAAUGGCAGAGCAUUGCAAGAUCUCUGUUGCCAUGGUAGCUGAAUCUGAGGAAAGGCCAUAUGCGCGAUCAUACGUGUUCAAGGUGGAUGGAUACUCAAGAGCCAAGGCGCUACUCAAGAACGGCGAGUACCUAACCUCUGAACCUUUCAGUGUUGGAGGCCACGACUGGGUCAUGACCUAUUACCCAAACGGCAGCAAGAUUUGUCCGGACGACAUAUCACUUUUUCUACAUCUUCACCCCGCCGGUGCCGAAGAUGUGAAGGCGAAAUUCACGUUCAGUCUACUUGACGAGAACGGAGAACCGGUGCCUUCAUACACCCGUGCCCACGACGAUAUACAUAUAUUCUCAAGGAAAGCUCCAAAUUGGGGCUACCAUAACCUAAUGAAGAAGGCUAAGCUGGAAAGAUCGGGGCAUCUGACAAACGACUGUCUCACCAUCGGAUGCCAUGUCACCGUCGUGCAGGAGAUCCUCGGCAAAGAAGAAACAAGGGCUUCUCCAGCAAGCGACUUGCACCGGCAUCUUGGUGAUCUCCUCGAGAGCAAAGAUGCAGCAGACCUGACAUUUCAAGUAGGCGGAGAGAUAUUCCAUGCUCAUAGGUGUAUCCUAGCCACUCGGUCAUCUGUCUUCAAGGCGGAGCUCCUCGGCGGCAUGGAGGAGAGUUCUGGUAGUCUCAUUGAAAUUCGUGACAUGGAACCUGAUGUGUUCGAGGCCUUGCUCCAUUUCAUAUACACCGAAAAAGUUUCUCCCGUGAUUGAUGUGGUGAUGGCCAGCCAUCUACUCGUAGCAGCGGAUAGGUACAACAUUGGUAGCCUGAAGCAGAUAUGCGAGGAUAAAUUGUGUUGUCAUAUUGAUUCAAACAUGGUGGCAACUAGUUUAGCUAUAGCUGAGCAACAUGGUUUCCAUGGUCUCAAAGAAGCUUGCUUACGGUUCCUUGCUUCUCCAUCCAAUUUGGAGGCGAUGAUGGCAAGCAACGGUUAUGAGCAUCUCAAGUCCAGUUGUCCGUCUGUUCUCAAGGAGCUCAUAGCUAGAAUACUCCCGGCUAAAUGGAACGUGGCAAAGGAUAUUAUCAUGGAACUUUAG
This 1113-nucleotide ribosomal RNA is filed under the name Triticum aestivum (bread wheat). Its description in RNAcentral is "partial small subunit ribosomal RNA". Lineage: Eukaryota; Viridiplantae; Streptophyta; Magnoliopsida; Poales; Poaceae. The record is from RNAcentral.